Amaranthus tricolor (Joseph's coat) is the source of this 8485-nucleotide long non-coding RNA. RefSeq lists it as uncharacterized. The record is from RefSeq and is a predicted model, not a curated record. The transcript is spliced from 3 exons. Lineage: Eukaryota; Viridiplantae; Streptophyta; Magnoliopsida; Caryophyllales; Amaranthaceae.
ACGAUGAUGAUGGAGAUGUUUCUUGUUUCUUUUCUUGUGCUUUUUUCCUCAUAUGUGUUCUCCAAUAAUUCUUUAUCUCAUUAUCGGUUCGCCCUGGUAAUCUUCUAGCAAUCCGAGACCAUCUGCAUGUGAUUAAAAGGUUACUGAAACACAUACCUAUUUCCCCACUGAGAAUGAAGUUCCAGGACAAGUUUCUCUUCAUGAGGAGUCAUCUUUCCUCUUUUGAGCCCGGGAUGCAGGUAAUUAACCCAUCGCAAGCGGCAGCUCUUACCUGUUCUUUUUAAACCUACAAGACAACUUUUGUUAAUAUGGAUGCUCCUUCUAAGAGUUCCCCAUACUUCAAAUAAGCAUACCUAUUAUUUUUCUCCCGCCACCUUCAAACCUGAAACUUUAGCAAUGAAAUCCCAUCGCCGGUCUCCAAACAAUCCUACAAAGCAGACCAGUUGAAGGUCUUCUUGUUCUGUCCAUGGACCCUUCCGGAUUUCUUCUUGGACCAUUCUGACCUUUUACUUCUGUUUGCUUGAUUGCUUCAGUUAGAUGGAUUUUUUUUAGUAUGGUGUUGUGAAUACCUGGACUGCCUGCUGUAUAUUCCUAAUAUUUAUAUUAAACAAUUUACAAUUUUUUAAACUCAUAAGAUAAUCUUGAUAAUAUUAGAAAAUGUUGAAUUUGAUCAUCAACUUCAUGUGUUCCCCACACUUUUGUCUUUUCAUGGGCAACUUAUGCAUAUGAUGUAAGCCACUAAAUACAAUAAUGUCUAGAAGAAUUGAUAUGGCACUGUUAAUAUGAUUGGCUUUUGUUAUCAUAUCAUUUAUUAAUAUACGUUUUACUUCUUUAUUUACCGAUAAGUAAGCCAUACUAUUGCAUGAGUUUAAACUUUUUUACUUUUUGCGUCUGUACCUUCCUCUCUGUUUUCUUCUUGUUUGUUGUUUCCUUUGUUUCUUUUUUACUUUCGGUUUGAAUAAUAAUUUUUUUGGUGUGUGUGGCUGAGUGUGGCUGGGGCGGUGAAUGCACUGGGUUCAAAUCAAAUUUGAGUUCUCCAUGAGAAAUCUUAAGAAUCAAAUUGAUGGUUUUUCUCAACUGUUGAAAAAUAACCCACACGUGGUCUCAAAUCGAAGAAUUAGAGAGAAAGGUUGACUAACAUAUAAGCGAUGGACUAUUCUUCCUAUUACCAAUUGGUUUGUGUAUAAUCAACGGGUUUUGUAUAAAAGUCUAAAUUUAUCAGUAUGAGUAAAAGCAUUUUCUUAUUAAUUACACAUUGCACAAAAUUGAUUUUUGAAUUAGAAGAAAUUCCCAGUAUAAGAAAUCCUUCUUGGUUUCUGUUAAUUGCGUAAGGUGUUUAUUUUUUAGAUGUAGUUGGUAGAUUAGCGCUUUACCUGUCCAAUUGUGAUGUGCUGGUGGCAUGCCCUUGACAUUGGUGGAGGCCACCAGUAUUAAGCUAGGGCCAAAGGAAAAGAAGAUAAUGACAACAGAUUAAAAAAAAAAGAAGCAAUUAGAUAAAAGCUCAUCUUUUGAUAAUUUGGCUUAUUGGGAGCCUUUUCCCUCUUAGGAUAAGACAAAAUACAUAUAUUUUUUGAUAAAAUACUUUAUGGGCACAGGCAGCUGCUAAUUCAAUGCUUCAAAACCAUUGUCAAUAGCUAUGUAGUGGCUCCUUAAUGAAGCCUAUAAGGCGAUGAUACAAUGUGCAUGAAUGCUUAAUGCUUCCGUUUCAUAAGUUUGAUUAUCUGAAAUAGUUUUAGAGUUCAUUUUAACUUUAUCUGACUCUUAUGUGGUUACCCAUAUUAUGGUUGAAUUCUAGGGAUAAUGCAUUAGGAAGGAAGGCGUAAUCAGUUUCUCGUCUUUCUGAACACUAAUGAACCAUGCACAGUCUGCCUGUUCUGUAUUUCUUUUCUGUCUUUUGAUAGUUUUGUGCUUGCAUUGGUUUAAGAAGCAAGAAUUUUACGAGUAGGUCUACUUGGUGGUUGCAAGGUGGGGUGAGCGAAAAAUUGUUUUUCUCUAUAUCAGAAUCCAUUGAUUAUGAAAGGAUAAAAUAGUAAACCAUUUAUUUCCUUCCAUUAAAUGAGAUGAGUGUACUUAACAGGCAUUGCAUCGGCAUUUUUACAAUUACAUUGACCAGUUGGUCUAAUAUGAAUAUGCAUUUUAAGAUUCCUUUACCAAAGUGUUUUUUGCAUUUUUAACUAAGUUGGAAGGUAUUCAAGACAUUUUGAUGAUAGAUUAGGGUUUACAUCAGUUGCUUUGAAUACUACUGGCUAGCAGUGGAGUUUACGUGAGAAGCUGUGAAGCUUUUUAUAUGACAAAGAUGGUUUAAUUUGAGGACUAAUAUGUUGGGCUAUAAUAACCUGUAAUCACAAAAUAUUAACUGAUAGUAGUGGUGUCAAAUUUUACCCCAGAUAAGGCUCAUAGUUUUAGACAUAUUUAGUUGAGUUUGGUUACUUCGAUGAUUUAUUAACUUUGUUUUCAUUAGUUUUUUUGAUUAAUUUUUUCAUCAAUCUAAUUUUUAUUAUUAGGAGUGAGAUCUUAGUUUUAAAAAGCGCACCAGCCUCAAUUUCCACCUUGUGCGCCUCGAGCUCAGGCUCAGCUGCAAAACACCUUAGAUAGGUGAGAAAAAGCUCACUACAAGAGCCUUGGGCGCCUUGAAAAAUGAAAAAACAUGCAAAGAAGAAAAUAAUCUUUGAAAAUUCUUCAUAUUCUCAUUAUAUUAGUUUUGUGCUAGAGUGGUGUUUACCGCAAGGAUAUGAAUGUUUUUAAGCUCGUUGAUUCUAAAAUAUGAAUAUCAUGUUGUUUAAAGUAUUAUAUAUGUUUUAAAAAUGGAUUUUUAAGCUUUAGCAAAAAAGUGCACAUAGUCUACAAAAUGCUUACGCCUUCGCCUUACGCUUUGCGCCUAGACUUUAAUGAAUUUGCAACUCUGUACCCCUUGUGCUUUAUAAAAAUAAGGGUAAGAUCAUGAAGUGAUACCAUUUUUUAUUUAUUCUGUUUCGUUUUAUCUCAGCCUCCCACCUAUGGAUUUAAUACAACUCUUUAAUCAGGCCAGUCAUAUUAGGAAGAAUAUUUUGAUUGAUUUUGGUGCAUUUGAAGAAGCAACAAAAGUGAUCUAUCUUAACUUGUCUAUUUUCUGAAACUUAUUUAUCCUUGAUUUUCAAUCUUCAAAUGCUUUGUUAUUUGAAUCAAUUCCUCUGAAAGUGCCAUUUAGUUUAGUCCCCGUAGAGAUCAGGUAAACAUGAUACCUGGUUGACAACAGAGAAAAGGCUUGGAAUUCUAUGAUUGGUGCCAUCUCUCGGAAUCUCAAAUAUUUUUUACUUUUCAGGAACUUGUUCUACUAUGGAUUUUAUUUACUCGAGGAAUUGGAGGUAGCACUAAAUGAGGGCUAGAUAAGAAGAUGUCACUAUAUGGGAUAAGACUGCCGUAAUGGUGCGUGUUUUACUCACCACAAAUGCGAAACCUUGAGAUUUAAUUAUAACCCUUGAUAUGUUGAUAUAUUAAGAGUGGACCACUUGCUUUUCUCAAAGGGUAUGGCAAUUCUCCUUAUUUUAGAGAUUAGUUAUGACUACAAAAUACACAUAGUCGUGUUGUGUUGGAUCCCAUUCUGCUUCUUUGUUUUAUUGGUGCUAAUUUAUGAGGAUGGAACGCAUGAUUAAUACUGUUUCUGGAAUGAUAAUGGUAUUACAGUCUAUUUAGGAAAUAAGUGUCUUUGCAUCACUGAUUAAUCUACAUCUCCUUAAUUCUAGGAUUUUGUCGCCUAGUAUAAUCGUUAAAGGAAGUUCUGAUAGUGGCAUUCAUGAUAUGUAUGCAACAUUAGUGUUUGUUUGGGCUUGUUUCCUAAAGAAUCGUUUUGAGGGUCAUGAUAAGUAUGCAUAAGAAUAGAGACUAGAAGCAAUAACCUGUUUGUUAAUGGGAAGGCUGAAAAGCCAAGGUAGUUAUCAAAGAGCCAUAUAUAGGAUUAAUUAUUGUAUUAUUGGUGGAUCCUUCUUGCUUACUGUGUAAUCGUCAAGGGAAAUAGGCUACUCAUGUUGUCCUCUUCUAGCUAUAAAUCACAGCCUUCCAUAUUUGUUUUUUAUUAUUCCAAAUAUGCACCUUCUGUUUGAAAAUAGUUGUUCCACUUCCUCUUUGUAGGUCUUUUUUAAGAGUUAUGGUUGAAUUUUAUUUGUUUUAAUAAUAUGUGAUCAUUCAACACCCUCCAACAGCUUCUUUCCUUUUUGUGAAUUGUAUUGGGUUUAUAAUUCUUUUAAGUUAUGGUUAAUGUAUAGAGGAAAAGGAAACUGAAUUACUUACAUGGUCACCCUUUAUAUUUGUGUCAAAAGUGAUUGGUAAACUUAUUUUUGUAUUUAGGAAAUAUUAUUUUGAGGAAUAAUUAGAAAAGCCAAAUUAAUUUCAUGUUAAACAAUCAUAGUUUAUUUUUAAUUUAUUUAGCCCGGAAUUGUUUAUAAAUUUUUUUAGUAAAACUUACUAAUCAUAUAAUUAAAGAAAAAUUAUCCACAAUAAUCCAGCCUUUCUUCCAUUUUCCUAUAAUAAUCAUAACUAUCAAUUAACCAUGAAUAAUACCAUGUAGUAUGUCAUUUAACCAAUACUAUUGUUAGCAAAAUUUUGACCAAUUAUUGCAAGUCACAUUUUAGCUAGUUGUUGCAUAUUCAUCUUCCUCAUUCAUAUUCAUAAUUCAUUAAACCAUUGUACUUAUUCAGUACAUUUCAAUUUCUUCUCAUUUCCUUUCUUCUUCCUUAUUUAUCCAUUUUACUCCAUUAAAAUCAAAAAUAUGCACUCUUGCUCAUUUUCCUUGCUUCUCUAUUUUUUUCUCAUUUCAUUCAAACAGCCCCUCUCUCUCAUGCCAUAAUAGUUUCACCAUAUGCAAGUUAUAUAUCGAGCCAAACAUAGAAUUCACACUUUAUUCAACAACAUACAUCUAAAAUCAUAGCUUAAAUUAACUAAUAUACUCACUAAUCAUAAAUUUAGAACAAAUUAAGACAAGAAUCAACUAAUGUAUGUACUAAUGAUAGAAAUUAAAAACAAAGAAUUUAUUAAGCAACAAAAUGAUAAUAAGUAAAAUAGAGAUAAAUACCUAAUUGAUGAGAUUUUAAUAAAUACCAACUAGAUAAAUGAGAACAAUCAAUGAUGAAUAAGUAUGAAGAAAAAAAUUGAAAUCAAAUGGAAAAAUAGUAUUGCAAUUGCUUAAAAAAAACCUUGAAAGUCUAAUAAUGAUCUAGGUUAUAACUAACUGAAAAAUACAAAUUAAGUUUAAUAAAACCAUUCGGUACUGAUGGGCGUAAUUAAUCAGCAAAAAGGAAAAGGAGGUCUUCUUCAAUGGUGCAUCAAUGAAGGUCCAGAUCUUCUUUAAUGGUGGUAUAUGGUUGGAGGGAAUUAAUGUUAAUGAGGAAAUGAUAGUGAACAGGAAGUGAAAGGUAAAAAGGUAAGUAAAAAAAAAAGUAAAAAAAAGGAAAUUUAGUUUAAAUAAUAGAAACCGGUUGUAGGUUACCUAACAAUAGUUCCGGCUAAAUGACAUAAUACAUGAGAUUAUUUAUGGUUAAUUGAUAGUUCCUAUAAUUAAUUAAGUUUGUAAAAACAUUAUGUAGUGAGAUUUUUUUAUUCAAAAUGGGGGAUCAAUAUUAUUGUUUUGCCAAAGACUUUUAAAAUGCGAUUAGAAACAACCUUAUUUAGAUGAUCCACACCCAGGCAACUUGGGUCGGGUUGGGAUCCAUCUUCCGGUUGAUUUUACCAUUCAAAUAUCUCUAAAAGCAACUUAAAUAAUUUGAAAGACUAAUAAAUUAUUGUUGAGAUGAAAUUUAAUUGUCUAAAACCGCUUAAAAGGUUUGAUAUUGUGACUUGCCUUUUUAGUAGAUCUAAGUGAUUAAUCCUGAGUGCUAAUUUGGAUACACCAUUAGAGUAUCAUGUUUGUCAUAGUCUCUUUCUUGUGUUGGGUUGUAUCAUAUAUGUAUGUUUCUAGCAUAUUUGUAUGAUGUCGCUAUAAGUAGGUGACUUGGUGCAAUCCUUCUAGCAUUUACAUUGUUUUUGGAUGGAGAGAUUUGGAGGGGAAUAAUUUUGUUUGUUUGAAUAGCAGGAUUUGAAAGAAAGGAGGAUAGAGGGACUAAUGUCUCUAAUUUUGUUAAUAACCAAAGCUUUUCAAAAAGGGGUUGAUUUGAAAGGAAAAUUAACUAUUAAAUAGACAAUUGUUCAUAUUCAAAGUUUUUUAAGCUUUCAUUAAAAUGUGUAGCGAUAUAUUGCUAGUAUAUAAUUUAUUUAGAAUUUGUGUACUUUAUUUUCCUUUUAUUUACCUUUAAUUUCCUUCUAUUUACCUUUAAUUUCCUUCUUAUCCAAAUAAUGGAAAUUUUCAUCACUAAUCCCUCUCCUUUUUUUCUCUUCUCUUUUUUUCCUUUCUCUUUGUUUUCUAUCCCUCCUAAGAUCUUAUCCAAACAUAUGUUAAAGGUGACAAGGUUUGCCCAUUUUGUAUGCCAACUAUUGCUAAGCUAGUAAAAUAACCAUACUUUCAUGAUUCAAUUGUUCUUGAAGAAUUUGAUAUAUUUCGUUAUUUUUAAUGCUCAAUGUAUAAUGUGAGCCGUUAUUUAUAAUAAAAUAAUUAAAUAGAAAAUAACUAUUAUAAAGGAUAUGAAAAUAAACUAUUAAAAAAUAAUAAUUAAUUUUUUCAAUAAAAAUUCUACUUUCUAAUACUCCCCUUCAAGUUAAGUGGUAGGAUUUUGAACUCCCAACUUGUAUAGAGUUUCUUCAAAUGCUUUUGAUGCAUCGUGAGAUUAUCAACUAUUUAGUCUUUUGAUCUCACAAAAGGUAGGCUGAUGAUUUUCCCUAUAAGAUUUUCUUUUAUAAAAUGUUGAUCUACUUCAACUUGUUAUGACUUUUGUACGGUCAUGUUGGAGUGGAUUUUCAAAAAUGUUGAUUGUUGCCUUGUUAUCACAAUAAAGUUGACAUGUUCAUUUUGAGGGAAACAAAGUUCAUUCAUCAACUUCAUGAGCCGUAUAAUUUUUGUAACUCUUUUAGCAAUUCCUCUAAAUUCUGCUUCUGCAUUGGAUAAGAGAAUUAUCUUUUGUUUCUUGGUUUUCAACAUAAUUUCAUAAGAUGUAUUUGUGGAUCUAUUUCAAUAACUUUAGCAAUUUUAGUUGAUUUUCUUCCAUUUUUGUCACCUGCUCAAUUUGCAUUUGUAUAAGCCAAUAAAUCUAGUUGAUUUUUUUCUCGAGUAAAAUACCCCUUCCCCUAAUUCUUUCAACGUAUAUUAUUCUCAUCAUUGCUUCAUAAAAUGCAUAAAUCUACUUACUACUCCCACAACAUAUGUAAUAUCUUGUUUAGUAUGAGAAAGAAUAAUGAAUUUCUAAUAUCUUGCCUAAUAUGAGAAAGAUUUAUGAAUUUACCAACUAUUUUCUGACAUUGUACUUUAUCAGCUGGAGUUGCUCCUUCAAUAAGCACACAAGUUCCACACAUUUUAAGAUAUUUAAGAUAUUGUAAGGGGUUAAAAAAGAUGUUUAGAUACCCUAAGGAAGGAUGUUUUAAGCAACGUUGCCGUAUCCAUAGAUUUUGUUCGGUGGAUCCAUAAGCUAGCAUUGCAUGACCAGCUGGAAUCACUUCAUCAACAUAAUGCAAUUUGCCUCGUUUAGUACCAUACCCAAUAAUAUUUCUCUUCUUGCACAAUAAAAUUAUCUAGAAAACAUUAAAACAGUGUAAUCUAGUUUUUUAAUUUACUGGCUAAUUAAAAGUAGUUUAUGAGAUGAUUUUAGAAUUAUGAGACAAUUUGUUAAACAAAAAUUAGGUGUCACUUCAACAGUUUUUGCACUUUUAAUGUCAACAAUAUCACUAUUAGCAGUAUGAAUAUAGGUUCUUUCUGAAGAAGUAAAAGAUUGUAUUUCUAUAUGGUUAUAAGUUAUAGUAUUCGUUGCCCCACUAUUAAAGAUCCAUUUGUUAGAAUCAGUAAGGCAAGAUAAGCCAUAAUUUAUUGGUGGUUUGAGUUUGGAAUAAAAACAUCUGUGGGUUGGAGAGAAUCUUUGGUUAUUCUAAAUUAUUUGCCGGUUGAUGAGAUUAGAUCCUGUUUUUGUGGAUUUAUAGAGAUAUCUUUUUUCUUCCUCUCUUCUUGUCCUUCUCUCUCUUUCGCCAUAUUUUCAUGAUUUGAAAGAAGUUUGAGAUUAUGAAGGACAUUGAGUUUUGAUUUUAUGAUUUGUGAGGGAGCAACUAGAGCAACUAUGAUUUUGAGUUAAUUUCCUCCUUUUGUUAAUAAUCAUGAUCAACUUUAGAAUACUUUAUCUUUGUUGGAGGGCAUUUAAUGAUGUGGAAAAGCAAGAAAUAAAAGAUUAUUGCCUUAUCAAAUGUAGUUUUCUAAGGAGUUAUAUAUGUUUUAUGGCUCAAGAGUUGCAUAAUUAGUUUUGUUUAUUUGGUCGGUCAAAAGGACCAAAUUUUUGUGAGAUUUUGGUUAUUUGAACUGAUUUAUUGUGUUAAACCAACAAUUUAGGUUUUAAAAAUAAUAAUUUUUAAUCUUUUUCAGUUUUUAGAGAUUUUUUUCGUA